GAUGAACGCUGGCGGCGUGCCUAAUACAUGCAAGUCGAGCGAACGGACGAGAAGCUUGCUUCUCUGAUGUUAGCGGCGGACGGGUGAGUAACACGUGGAUAACCUACCUAUAAGACUGGGAUAACUUCGGGAAACCGGAGCUAAUACCGGAUAAUAUUUUGAACCGCAUGGUUCAAAAGUGAAAGACGGUCUUGCUGUCACUUAUAGAUGGAUCCGCGCUGCAUUAGCUAGUUGGUAAGGUAACGGCUUACCAAGGCAACGAUGCAUAGCCGACCUGAGAGGGUGAACGGCCACACUGGAACUGAGACACGGUCCAGACUCCUACGGGAGGCAGCAGUAGGGAAUCUUCCGCAAUGGGCGAAGGCCUGACGGGGCAACGCCGGGUGAGUGAUGAGGGUCUUCGGAUCGUAAAACUCUGUUAUUAGGGAGGAACAUAUGUGUAAGUAACUGUGCACAUCUUGACGGUACCUAAUCAGAAAGCCACGGCUAACUACGUG
This 497-nucleotide ribosomal RNA is filed under the name uncultured bacterium. Its description in RNAcentral is "partial 16S ribosomal RNA". It matches the Rfam family "Bacterial small subunit ribosomal RNA", at positions 28 to 507 of the family's 1533-position model. The record is from RNAcentral.